This 451-nucleotide ribosomal RNA is filed under the name uncultured bacterium. RNAcentral describes it as "partial 16S ribosomal RNA". It matches the Rfam family "Bacterial small subunit ribosomal RNA", at positions 354 to 796 of the family's 1533-position model. The record is from RNAcentral.
GUGGGGAAUAUUGGACAAUGGGGGGAACCCUGAUCCAGCCAUGCCGCGUGUGUGAAGAAGGCCUUUUGGUUGUAAAGCACUUUAAGUGGGGAGGAGGCUUACCUGGUUAAUACCUGGGCUAAGUGGACGUUACCCACAGAAUAAGCACCGGCUAACUCUGUGCCAGCAGCCGCGGUAAUACAGAGGGUGCAAGCGUUAAUCGGAUUUACUGGGCGUAAAGCGCGCGUAGGUGGUUAAUUAAGUCAAAUGUGAAAUCCCCGAGCUUAACUUGGGAAUUGCAUUCGAUACUGGUUGGCUAGAGUAUGGGAGAGGAUGGUAGAAUUCCAGGUGUAGCGGUGAAAUGCGUAGAGAUCUGGAGGAAUACCGAUGGCGAAGGCAGCCAUCUGGCCUAAUACUGACACUGAGGUGCGAAAGCAUGGGGAGCAAACAGGAUUAGAAACCCGUGUAGUCC